AUACCACCCUUUAAUGUUUGAUGUUCUAACGUGGACCCGUGAUCCGGGUUGCGGACAGUGUCUGGUGGGUAGUUUGACUGGGGCGGUCUCCUCCUAAAGAGUAACGGAGGAGCACGAAGGUUGGCUAAUCCUGGUCGGACAUCAGGAGGUUAGUGCAAUGGCAUAAGCCAGCUUGACUGCGAGCGUGACGGCGCGAGCAGGUGCGAAAGCAGGUCAUAGUGAUCCGGUGGUUCUGAAUGGAAGGGCCAUCGCUCAACGGAUAAAAGGUACUCCGGGGAUAACAGGCUGAUACCGCCCAAGAGUUCAUAUCGACGGCGGUGUUUGGCACCUCGAUGUCGGCUCAUCACAUCCUGGGGCUGAAGUAGGUCCCAAGGGUAUGGCUGUUCGCCAUUUAAAGUGGUACGCGAGCUGGGUUUAGAACGUCGUGAGACAGUUCGGUCCCUA
This 444-nucleotide ribosomal RNA is filed under the name Escherichia coli. RNAcentral's name for it is "partial 23S ribosomal RNA". It matches the Rfam family "Bacterial large subunit ribosomal RNA", at positions 2197 to 2640 of the family's 2925-position model. Lineage: Bacteria; Pseudomonadati; Pseudomonadota; Gammaproteobacteria; Enterobacterales; Enterobacteriaceae. The record is from RNAcentral.